Molecule: ribosomal RNA, 253 nt
Filed under: uncultured bacterium
Lineage: Bacteria
Description: partial 16S ribosomal RNA
Rfam family: Bacterial small subunit ribosomal RNA
Source: RNAcentral
UACGUAGGGUGCGAGCGUUGUCCGGAAUUAUUGGGCGUAAAGGGCUCGUAGGCGGUCUGUCGCGUCAGGAGUGAAAACUCGGGGCUUAACCCCGAGCCUGCUUCUGAUACGGGCAGACUAGAGGUAUGCAGGGGAGAACGGAAUUCCUGGUGUAGCGGUGAAAUGCGCAGAUAUCAGGAGGAACACCAAUGGCGAAGGCAGCUCGCUGGGACGUGACUGACGCUGAGACGCGAAAGCGUGGGGAGCGAACAGG